This 918-nucleotide ribosomal RNA is filed under the name uncultured archaeon. RNAcentral's name for it is "bacterial SSU rRNA". It matches the Rfam family "Archaeal small subunit ribosomal RNA", at positions 33 to 922 of the family's 1478-position model. The record is from RNAcentral.
UCGGGAUGGGACUAAGACAUGCUAGUCGAGUGUCUCUAAGCUAUGGAAGAGACGCGGCACACAGCUCAGUAACACGUGGCUAACCUGCCCUUGGGACAAGGACAACUCCGGGAAACUGGGGCUAAUCCCUGAUAAGUGAGAACUCCUGGAAUGGGUUCUCGCUGAAAGGACGUUUAGACCAUGCUUCUAGGCGUCGCCCAAGGAGGGGGCCGCGACCGAUCAGGUUGUUGGUGAGGUAACGGCUCACCAAGCCUUUAACCGGUACGGGCCGUGAGAGCGGAAGCCCGGAGAUGGGCACUGAGACAAGGGCCCAGGCCCUACGGGGCGCAGCAGUCGCGAAAACUCCGCAAUACACGAAAGUGUGACGGGGCCAUCCCGAGUGCCAUCCCGCUGAGGAUGGCUUUUCCCCAGUGUAUAAAGCUGGGGGGAAUAAGGAGAGGGCAAGCCUGGUGUCAGCCGCCGCGGUAAUACCAGCUCUCCGAGUGGUGGGGAUGUUUAUUGGGCCUAAAGCAUUCGUAGCCUGCUUGGCAAGUCCUCCGUUAAAUCCAACGAUUCAAUCGUUGGGCUGCGGGGGAUACUGUCCAGCUAGGGGGCGGGAGAGGCCGACGGUAUCCCCGGGGUAGGGGUGAAAUCCUAUAAUCCCGGGAGGACCACCAGUGGCGAAGGCUGUCGGCUAGAACGCGCUCGACGGUGAGGGAUGAAAGCUGGGGGAGCGAACCGGAUUAGAUACCCGGGUAGUCCCAGCUGUAAACGAUGCAGGCUAGGUGUUGGCGCGGGCUACGUGCCGCUCCCAGUGCCGCAGGGAAGCCGUUAAGCCUGCCGCCUGGGAAGUACGGCCGCAAGGCUGAAACUUAAAGGAAUUGGCGGGGGAGCACCACAAGGUGUGAAGCUUGCGGUUUAAUUGGAUUCAACGCCGGG